GAUAAGGAGCUUGCUCCUUUGAAGUUAGCGGCGGACGGGUGAGUAACACGUGGGUAACCUACCUAUAAGACUGGGAUAACUUCGGGAAACCGGAGCUAAUACCGGAUAACAUUUAGAACCGCAUGGUUCUAAAGUGAAAGAUGGUUUUGCUAUCACUUAUAGAUGGACCCGCGCCGUAUUAGCUAGUUGGUAAGGUAACGGCUUACCAAGGCGACGAUACGUAGCCGACCUGAGAGGGUGAUCGGCCACACUGGAACUGAGACACGGUCCAGACUCCUACGGGAGGCAGCAGUAGGGAAUCUUCCGCAAUGGGCGAAAGCCUGACGGAGCAACGCCGCGUGAGUGAUGAAGGGUUUCGGCUCGUAAAACUCUGUUAUUAGGGAAGAACAAAUGUGUAAGUAACUGUGCACAUCUUGACGGUACCUAAUCAGAAAGCCACGGCUAACUACGUGCCAGCAGCCGCGGUAAUACGUAGGUGGCAAGCGUUAUCCGGAAUUAUUGGGCGUAAAGCGCGCGUAGGCGGUUUCUUAAGUCUGAUGUGAAAGCCCACGGCUCAACCGUGGAGGGUCAUUGGAAACUGGGAAACUUGAGUGCAGAAGAGGAAAGUGGAAUUCCAUGUGUAGCGGUGAAAUGCGCAGAGAUAUGGAGGAACACCAGUGGCGAAGGCGACUUUCUGGUCUGUAACUGACGCUGAUGUGCGAAAGCGUGGGGAUCAAACAGGAUUAGAUACCCUGGUAGUCCACGCCGUAAACGAUGAGUGCUAAGUGUUAGG
This 772-nucleotide ribosomal RNA is filed under the name Staphylococcus sp. RNAcentral's name for it is "bacterial SSU rRNA". It matches the Rfam family "Bacterial small subunit ribosomal RNA", at positions 70 to 827 of the family's 1533-position model. The record is from RNAcentral. Lineage: Bacteria; Bacillati; Bacillota; Bacilli; Caryophanales; Staphylococcaceae.